CUCAGUUUGUCAAAUAAGGUGAAAGCUUAUCUGAAACUUUUGGGAACAAUAAUGUUGAGAUACAUUUUAAUUUUUUCAGGUUCCAGUUCACAGACAAGAUUCAUACAGACCAACAGAGAUCUACAGCUGACUGUGAGAGAAGGGGUUCAAAUAGGAAGAGAUAUAUUUUUUUGGACAUUUAAUGACAGAAAAAAUAUAAUAAGACUAAAUAGAGGCGAAGUAGAUUACUUUGACUACAAAAACAGAGUGGAGUUUUUUAAACAAAAUCUGUCUUUGAUUUUGAAAAAUGUCCAGCUGAGUGACAGUGGGAUCUACACAGCUGAAGUCUCUCGAAGUGAAAAAGAAAUCCUCUCCACAUAUGACGUCACAGUUGAAGCCCCAGUGUCUCCAGUGCUGCUGAGCGUGGACUCUGUGUUUAACAGUCCAGAGUCCUGUAACUUCACUGUGAGCUGCACGACUGAACUCUCCCCCUCCAUCAGCCGCUCCUUCACCUGUGACAGACGCACCUGUGAGGAGGCAAGCCCCGCCCCCUCUGACCCCGCCCCCUCCCUGCACCUUUACCUGUCC
This is a long non-coding RNA of Neogobius melanostomus (round goby), 567 nucleotides long. NCBI's taxonomy places the organism in Eukaryota, Metazoa, Chordata, Actinopteri, Gobiiformes, Gobiidae. The record is from Ensembl.